Molecule: ribosomal RNA, 468 nt
Filed under: uncultured bacterium
Lineage: Bacteria
Description: partial 16S ribosomal RNA
Rfam family: Bacterial small subunit ribosomal RNA
Source: RNAcentral
GACGAACGCUGGCGGCGUGCUUAACACAUGCAAGUCGAACGGAAAGGCCCUGCUUUUGUGGGGUGCUCGAGUGGCGAACGGGUGAGUAACACGUGAGUAACCUGCCCUAGACUUUGGGAUAACUUCAGGAAACUGGGGCUAAUACCGUAUAGGAGCUCCUGCUGCAUGGUGGGGGUUGGAAAGUUUCGGCGGGUGGGGAUGGACUCGCGGCUUAUCAGCUUGUUGGUGGGGUAGUGGCUUACCAAGGCAUUGACGGGUAGCCGGCCUGAGAGGGUGACCGGCCACAUUGGGACUGAGAGACGGCCCAGACUCCUACGGGAGGCAGAAGUGGGGAAUAUUGCACAAUGGGCGGAAGCCUGAUGCAGCAACGCCGCGUGCGGGAUGACGGCCUUCGGGUUGUAAACCGCUUUCGCCUGUGACGAAGCGUGAGUGACGGUAAUGAGUAAAGAAGCACCGGCUAACUACGUG